GGUGAAGGAGUAGAGAGAUAUUAACAACAUGAUCCACUAGUAAUAAUAAUUUAUUGGCCCAACAUCGGCCCAAAAUAUUUAAUUUUAAUUAUUAUUAUUAGUAUGGAGGGCUCAUAUAUUUUAAUGAAAAUUUUUUUUCAUCUGAUAUGAAACUAUUAGGCGUUACAAACUCCUUCCGUUUAGCUCCUGACGUCCCAUCGUCGUUUGGUCACCAAACCACACUUUCGACCGUUAUUUACUGAUUGUAACAAUUUGAUCUGCUAGAAAUAAUAACUAGUUGGAUCUAAAUUAUCGGUCCAAAAUAUUUAAGUCUAUUUAUUAUUAUUAACGUGGCUGUCUUAUAUAUUCUAAUCAGAAUUUUUUUUUCAUUCAAUAUAGAACUAUUGAGU
Molecule: long non-coding RNA, 389 nt
Filed under: Ananas comosus (pineapple)
Lineage: Eukaryota; Viridiplantae; Streptophyta; Magnoliopsida; Poales; Bromeliaceae
Description: long non-coding RNA (ACOM_LNC023145)
Source: RNAcentral